UCACAUCUUGAAAUACUGUAAUUGCAGUAGCUCUACAGACGGAUUUUAGGAUGAAGGCCUCCAAGAUACAAGUUUUCUGCAUGUCUGCUGUUAGAACAGUAAUGUUUUCAUGAGGAAUUAGCAAAACUUAAAAAUCCUCUUAGCCAGCAUGUGAGGCAGAAUAAAGAAAAUCAUAUUUGCUUUACUAAAGCUAAGAGAAAGGCAGUUUUGGUCAACUACAUUUUCAAACUCACCAGUGUACUUCUCCAACCCUUCACAGAUUGCACCAGCCUGUACUGAUAUUGAGGAUUGCCCUGACCUAGGUGCAGGACCUUGCACUUUGCCUUACUGGAGCUCAUGAGAUGUGUGUGGGACUGUGUCAAAGGCUUUACAAAAGUCCAGAUAGGUGACAUCAGUUGGUCUUCCUUUGUCCACUGAUGUAGUUACUCCAUUGUAGAAAGCCAUUAGGGUCAGGCAGGACUUGCCCUUAGUGAAGCUGUGCUGCUGUCUCAAUCACCUUCUUGUGCUUCUUCUACUUGCAGUGUUUUUUCCUGUACGUGUUCAAUUAUGGCGACCCAGCAGUGGAUUCCCAGGGACUGAGUGCAAUGUAGUGGGCCAUGGCAGCAAGGAAGCAGCCUUGGUUUGACCUGAGCCCAGGCUGCCUACAUACACCAUCUGCCUGUGCACUGGCAACCUUGGGGAUUGAUUCUGCUGAAGCCUGUGGGCCACCAGCCCUGCCUCAGUUCGUCAUGAUAAGGGCACCUGGAGCAGCUGACCGCUGUGAGAUAACUGGGGUCUACUCGUCUGCAAGCAAGCACCUCCUGGAUAUGCUGAGCAUAGCAGCGCUGUAAAUCUCUAAGGAAACCCCCCAAGAUCAGCCUGACAGCUCUCCAUCGGAGGAGUAGGACAGGCUGGAUGGAAAUAACUUCAAGAAGUUUCCAGCUUUCUCAUGGUAUAGUCUAUGGAUCCUGGUUUCUCCUUCCCCUUCCCAGAAUGCAGAAAACACAACCAGAAAAUUCAGUAUCACAGUAUCACCAAGGUUGGAAGAGACCUCACAGAUCAUCAAGUCCAACCCUUUAGCACAGAGCUCAAGGCUAGACCAUGGCACCAAGUGCCACGUCCAAUC
This is a long non-coding RNA of Pogoniulus pusillus (Red-fronted tinkerbird), 1105 nucleotides long. RefSeq lists it as uncharacterized. The record is from RefSeq and is a predicted model, not a curated record. NCBI's taxonomy places the organism in Eukaryota, Metazoa, Chordata, Aves, Piciformes, Lybiidae. The transcript is spliced from 4 exons.